UACGGAGGAUCCGAGCGUUAUCCGGAUUUACUGGGUGUAAAGGGAGCGUAGACGGCAGCGCAAGUCUGGAGUGAAAUCCCAUGGCUUAACCAUGGAACUGCUUUGGAAACUGUGCAGCUGGAGUGCAGGAGAGGUAAGCGGAAUUCCUGGUGUAGCGGUGAAAUGCGUAGAUAUCAGGAGGAACACCGGCGGCGAAGGCGGCUUACUGGACUGUAACUGACGCUGAGGCUCGAAAGCGUGGGUAGCAAACAGG
RNAcentral lists this ribosomal RNA (253 nucleotides) under uncultured Eubacteriales bacterium. Its description in RNAcentral is "uncultured Clostridiales bacterium partial 16S ribosomal RNA". It matches the Rfam family "Bacterial small subunit ribosomal RNA", at positions 524 to 776 of the family's 1533-position model. Lineage: Bacteria; Bacillati; Bacillota; Clostridia; Eubacteriales. The record is from RNAcentral.